This 3978-nucleotide long non-coding RNA is filed under the name Homo sapiens (human). RNAcentral's name for it is "HSALNT0231027". Lineage: Eukaryota; Metazoa; Chordata; Mammalia; Primates; Hominidae. The record is from RNAcentral.
GCAAAUAUGGGAGUUGACAAGUCUGAAAUUGUAGGACAGGCCAGCAGGCUAGAAAUUCCAGCAGAAGUCAAUGCUUCAGUCUUAAGUCUAAAGGCAAUCUAGAUGCAAAACUCUUUCCUUAUCAUGAGACCUCUGUCUUUUUUCUUAAGGCCUUCAAUUGUUUGGCUGAAGCCCAUCCACAUAUAGACCUUGAGUUUGACCAGAACCAUAGUCUACCCAUAAAAUUAACCGUCAGAGGGACUGUUUGCUACCAUGGCACUAGCCUGUCACUUUUGACUAAUACUUGCUCCUUUGCCUCCUCCCCUCCAAAGAGAAUGGAGUUUAGCCUCAGUAGAACUGUCAUUAUGAGGAUUCUGCUUUUUAAAGUAUUAAUUUAGUUCUUCCUUAAAAGUAUGAGUUUUCAUUUGUCCUCACCCAAGGAACUCUGGAAGGAUGCUGGAGAAUCACAGGACACACUCUCAGCAGGAGACAGAUAUAUAGAUGUCAGUUGAUUCUGGUCACAAAAUCCAAGUGCCCUCUAAAAACAGUAAACCGACAUCCCAAAUGAUAAAUAAUCAGCCCAAGAGCCUUCUGCAAAAGAACACUUGGUCCAUAAAUGGGUUAAUGAUGAUUCAGGUUCUCAGGAGAGUGCUAAUUAAAUAGUCAUAGAAAGGAUGUUCAAAAUGAUCUCACCGGGCUGUGGUUGCCAUGGAAACCCAUUUCCCUUAUUUGUGUUUCUCUUCCCCCUCCCCAAAUUACUAAUAGUAAUAAUUUGGUCAGUUAUUAAAAAAGACAAGGUAUGGGCCAUGUGAACCCAGGCAAGAAAUGAAAAGCGAAAGUGAGAGAAAGGAGUGUUAAAUAGAAAAAUGGAUGCAUCACUGAAACAGUUUCAAUUAGGUAGUAGGUUAAUUCCUUCUCUUGGAUGGGAAUGUUUGGUUGUUUGAUGUUGCAGAGAAAGUGCAGGAAAUGCUCACAAUUCAAGAAAGGAGGUCUUAUUUUUUUUAAGGCUAAGGUCUCAGCUGGGUAUGCUGGCUCAUGCCUGUAAUCCCAGCACCUUGGGAGGCUGAGGAGGGCAGAUUGCUUGAGCCCAGGAGUUCGAGAACAGCCUGGGCAACAUGGCAAAACCCCAUCUCUACAGAAAUUAGCUGGGCAUGGUGAUGUGCACCUGUAGUCCCAGCUACUCAAGAAGUUGAGACAGGAGGUUCACUUGGGCCCAGGAGAUCGAGGCUGGAGUGAGCCAUGAUUGCACCGCAGCACUCCAGCCUGGGCAACAGAGCAAGACCUUGUCUGAAGAGGAAAAAAAAAAAAAAAAGACGACUAACCCUUCAAAAUAAACCUUCCUCAUGAAAGAUUCAUACAUCUAUUUGAAUGCAUAAAACUCACUUAUGCCCACAAAUCAUACACACAACCUUAUCCAUGACCAUGCCCUCCUGAAUUUCAUAUCAGCACACCACUAUCUAAUUGUGUCUUUCUUGAUGUCAGCAUGUAUGAUUUGGAUAGUAAGCUUCUAGCCUAAUGGGUCUUAGAUAUUUGAGGCAAAUAGACUCCCUUGAGAAUUUCAGAAAAUCAGCCAUCUCCUCAAAAAAUGCACAUGGGCACAUGCAUAUAGAAGUCGAUCUCAUGGGGUUCAUGGGCCUCCUGAAAUCGAUUCAGUGACUCCAAGUUGAAAAUCAGUGUCUUAAAGGAAAUAAAUUGUGUAGAUUUACAGAUGUUAGACUGAUGUGGGAUGGGAGAUAAUUGUAUUUUCUGGUGAAUGGCUUUCACCUUGUUCUGAAACAACUUUCCUACCUUAAUAAACACAUUAGUUAUUUUUCUUGGGUGAUGGUGGUGGUAACGAGUUCAGACUCUAAAUGCACUUAGUAGGAACAUUAGUGGGAGUAUUUUUACUAAGGUUCCAAAUGACAGUAGAUGAUGUAGGUGUAUACGGUUGGGCUGUAGAUGAUCUCAGCCUGGUAGAGAUGAACUCCAGGAGCUGUAACCACAAAAUUCCCUAAUCUUUCCUCUACUCCCCACAAUGUAUCUUUUUCUCCUUAAGGUACAUUACAGAGACAAACUUUGCUUAAUUGAGUUGCGUAUUUUCAUAGAUCUCUUAGGACAAUGUUAGAGUGACAUAAACAAUGUGUAAUAACGUUUCCUCAGGGGAAGAGAAAUGACUAGUAUUUAUUAAGCCUCCACUUUGCAGGAGGCACCUAUCUCAUCCUCAGCCUCAGAAUUACGUUGCAUUUUUCCCAUUUUAUAGAUUAAGAAACUGGACUUCUGAAAAGUGAAGUAACUCAUUCCAACUCACUUGACUGAUAAGAGCGAGGAGUGGUAUUUGAACGGAGGUGUUCCUGGGUGCCAUUCUGAGGUGCCAUCACACCACACUCCCUUCGGAAAAUGAGAAGCUUCCUCUGCCAAAGCCGUCUCAUUAGGAUACACUGAAGUCUUGAGGUGAGAGAGAUAUAGAGAAGGGUGAUCUUUGUCUUGCUGAGUUCUGCCAUGGGCAGCAAUUGAGGUCCCCUGGCCAUGUGGAUUAAACUCUAAAGUUCUCCCCAGAUGGGGUGUGGUGGCUUACACCUGUAAUCUCAGCACUUUGGGAGGCCAAGGCGGAGGAUUACUUGAAGCCAGGAGUUCAAGACCAGCCUGGGCAACAUAGCAAAACCCUGUCUCUAAAAAAAAAAAAAAAAAAAAUUAGCCAGGCAUGGUGGCAUGUGCCUGUAGUCCUAGCUACUCCGGAGGUUGGGGUGGGAGGAACGCUUGAGCCCAGGAGUUUGAGCUAUGAUUGUGCCGCUGCAAGUUAGCCUGGGCAACAGAGCAAGACCUUCUCUCAAAACAAAACAAAACAUAAAAGGUAUUUCCAGCUAAUUGGUAGUAACAUUAUCCACAACCGCUCAGAAUACGUUUGGAGAUUUUCUAUAUUUUAAAGAGCUAUAACUUAAUUUAUUUAACACGUAUUUUAAACAUAAUUUCCCCUUAUUAUAAAAGUUAUAUUUGUUCAAUUUUUAAAUUAGCUGCCAACAUAUAAAAUUGAGUAUUUUAUAGAACAUAGUCAAAUUUCAGGUUUCUGUCUAAAACUUAGAAUUCUAGAACUAACCCAGACUUCAUUCCCUCAACAAAUACAUGACCCAGAGCUAGUGCCAUCACUCCCUACUACCUCUUAGAUGUAGUUCACAUCUCUCAUUCAUAUUGUCUGCUGGAAAUUACAAGAAUUUGAAUCCUUACAGUUUGAGGGUCACAAUUCUUGAUUAUCAGCCUGAUCUUUUUAAAAAAUAAAUAUUCAAGUUACUUGAUCAGUAAAAAGAGACAUUUGGAAAUUUCAGUUAUACGCAGGAAAAAAAAAAAACAGUUAUUUUAUACUUAUCCAUCCCUGAUUUUCUCUCUUGUUUAGCCCAGAAGAAAGUAAAGAAGGCUGCUCCUAGUAUUCAUAAAGUUAAAUGUAAGCAAUUAUAUUUUGCCUUACAAAAUAUACCUAAUACAUUGUAAUGGAUUGAAUCAUUAAAAUAUGUAUAAAGUCAUAGAAAAAAGAUGAGAAAAUAGACACACAUCCCACUUUUGCUUUAAGUUAGGUCAUUCCUAAAAGAUGCUGCAGGGCUGAGGACAAGUUUCUGCUUUAGGCAACUCUGUAUCACCUGAGUUGGGAGGAUCACUUGAAGCCAAGAGUUCAAGACCAGCCUGGGUAAGAUAGCAAGAUCCUGUCUCCAAAAAAAUUAAAAUAAAUCAACUUAAAAAAUUAAAAAUUAGCCAUGCAUGGUGUUUUUUGGGAGGCUGAGGUGGGAGGAUCACUUGAGCCCAGGAGUUCAUGGCUGCAGUGAGCCAUGAUCAAAGAACUUUAGCAAUUUCUUAAAAUGUUAAUGAAAAAAAGUUAAAAGAGGGCAAAAGAGAAGUAUCCAGACACUGUGUCAUCUCUGAAAUCAACCAAGAACAACAACAAAGAAAAACAAAAGAAGAAUCUGCUUCUGUGAAAUUAUAACUCAGAUGACGGUCACCAGGUACUUGGAAGAGAAGGAGGAGGUGGGAGGA